CAUAAAAUACCUUUUAUAAAAAAAAUUUAUAAAGAUGUUAGAAGCAAGUCUAGUCGUGAUUCCUAACCAAAAUUUCUUGAGCCCUUAACCCUAAUUUCGAUUUCGACUUCGACGAUCCUCUCUGAUGGCGAACGAUAAGCAAAUCGAAUCUCAUCACCGCAAGCAUCACCGUUCAUCUUCCUCGUCCGACGAGACCGAGAAAUCAUCGAAACGGCACAAGCACCGUCAUCACAAGCAUCAUCAUCACCACAGGCAUCGCCAUCACCGAGAUAAGAAGCGCGACGAUGAAAUUCCAUCCGCCGGCGAUGAGACAGAGAUGAUUGAUGUUACUCCGGCGGCUCCAAUUGGUGUUAGUAACGGCUGUGAGGAGGAUGUGGAGGAAGGGGAGAUUUUAGAAGAAGAUGCGAUUGGCGAUGUUUUGAUGAAGACGGCAGAUUCCGACGGCGAGUUUGGCGAAAUCAAAUCCGAUAAUAAUCUGCCUCCAUUUGGGGAAAAAGGGCGUCAAGGAGAAGAGGAGAGUUCUAAUGGUGUUCUAACUCGUGAAUCUGAAAGGGAAGAUAAGAGGUGGGAUAAAGAUGCUAGAGGUACUUCAGAGAGGGUUAGUAAGAUAAGUUAUGAUAAUGGCAAGAGUUCGUUUUCUUCGGAAAGCUCUGAAGAGAAGCGUAAGACUAGUAACCGGUCUCCGUCAAAUAGCAGGCAGUCUAAUGAAGUCCGUGCUCGGAGUAGAUCUAAGUCACAUGAUCGGGAGAGAGAAAUGUCAAGAUCAAGGAUUGUUGCGGAGGAUGAGUAUUCGGACAGAGGAAGACAUCGUGAUUCUAGUAGGGAUCAUCAUCAUGACAGAGUUGACUCAGGUAGGACUGAGGAAAGAUAUCAUCGACGUGGGCGAUAUGAGGAAAAUGACAGGCAAUAUAGCCGAGAUGUCUUGGAAAGAGAUAGAAGUAAGGAGAGAGAUAUGGACAGGGAGGGAAGCAUAAGAGAUAGGGAUUCAGAAGGAAGUAAGCGGAGAGAGAGAGAUAGUGAUCGGAGGAGGGAAAGAGAACGAGAGAAGAGAAGGGAGAUAGAGGUUGACCGUGAAAGACGAAAAGAGAAGGAACGAGGGCGCAGCACUGAUAGGGAUAGGAGAAAGGAGAGGGAAGGAGAUUAUUUACGCGAUAGAGACAAUGAAAGAGGUAGGAGUAGAGAUAGAACCAGGUAUAACAGCAGAGAGAGGAAGAGAGAAAAAGAAAGGGAGGGUGAAAAAGAUUGGGAGCGAGGAAGAGAAACCCAGAAUGAUAGGGAGAAGUACAGAAGUAGUGAUGUGGACUACGGUGAAAUGAGGCACAAACAGUCUAGACACUCAAGAUAUGAUGCGGUAGAUGACGUAGAAAUGAGUAAGCCAAAUUCUUUGAAGGCCCAUAAUUCUAAGGGUGAUAAGUCAGAAGAAAAGUGGGGCAAUGAUGAAAGGUCCCGAAAUGAGGAUGGCCAAGAUGAUAAUGACGAAGGACUUACAUGGAAAUCUCCUGAAGAAGAAGAAGAAGAAGUACUAAAUAGAAUCAAGGAGGAGAGCAGGAAGCGAAUGGAAGCCAUACUGGAGAAACAUAAGAAGAAGCCCGAGCAGCAAAAUGAACUUUUAACUCAGGAGAAUGGGAAAGAUGUUGUUCAAGAAACUGGUGCUCCAGUGUCGACUUCUCCUGCAGUUGUCAUAGCAGCUAAUGUUGGUCAGGCCAAAACUAACUUGGACUUUGAUACUGACGCUGCCAAGGCAUCAUUAAUAGUCGGUGGGCCACCUACUAUGCUUGGAAUUUCAGACUCAGAGAAGAAUCAAGCUCCAGCAGGGCUUGGUGAAGGUAGCCCGAAGAGUGAAAGAUCAGCUGACAUGUUUCAUGAUGAUAUCUUUGGAGAGUCCCCAGCUGGUAUUCGGAAAGUGGGAGGGAAAGGUGAUGGUGUUCCCAUGGUGAGGAGCGGGCUUCAUGAUAAUUGGGAUGAUGCAGAGGGUUAUUACAGCUAUCAGUUUGGCGAGUUACUUGAUGGUAGAUAUGAAGUCAUUGCUACUCAUGGAAAAGGUGUCUUCUCUACUGUGGUUCGUGCGAAAGACUUGAAAGCUGGACCAGCUGAACCUGAAGAGGUGGCAAUAAAAAUUAUCCGUAACAAUGAGACGAUGCAUAAAGCUGGUAAGAUUGAGGUUCAAAUAUUGAAGAAGCUGGCUGGUGCUGACCGAGAGGACAGGCGCCACUGUGUUCGUUUUCUUUCAAGCUUUAAGUACCGUAAUCACCUUUGCUUGGUGUUUGAGUCACUCCAUUUGAAUCUUCGUGAGGUCUUGAAGAAGUUUGGUCGCAACAUUGGUCUCCAACUCUCUGCUGUUAGGGCUUAUUCAAAGCAGCUAUUCAUUGCCCUUAAACAUCUGAAGAAUUGUGGGGUUCUUCACUGCGAUAUAAAACCUGACAACAUGCUGGUCAAUGAAGGGAAAAAUGUGUUAAAGCUUUGUGACUUCGGUAAUGCAAUGUUUGCUGGCAAAAACGAAGUUACACCGUAUCUUGUUAGUCGCUUUUACAGAUCCCCUGAAAUUAUUUUGGGUCUCACCUAUGACCAUCCGUUGGAUAUAUGGUCUGUUGGCUGCUGUCUGUAUGAGCUUUAUAGUGGAAAAGUUCUUUUCCCUGGCGCCACAAACAAUGAUAUGUUACGCCUUCAUAUGGAACUGAAAGGUCCCUUCCCUAAAAAGAUGCUUCGCAAGGGAGCAUUUAUUGAUCAGCACUUUGAUCAUGACUUGAACUUUUAUGCUACAGAGGAAGACACCGUUAGUGGAAAGCUGAUAAAAAGAAUGAUCGUAAACGUAAAGCCGAAAGAUUUUGGUUCAAUCAUUAAAGGUUACCCUGGUGAGGAUCCCAAGAUGUUAGCUCAUUUCAGGGAUCUCUUGGACAAAAUGUUCAUUCUUGAUCCUGAGAGGAGACUGACUGUGUCACAGGCAUUAGCUCACCCAUUCAUCACUGGCAAGUGAAACCACAUUGCCAUUUUCUCUCUGUUAUAUCAGGAAAUGCUGUUGUCCUAGAUAUCUGUACAUUACACAUCUUAAUUACAAUUUAAGGAUCUAAUCUUUGAAUUUUCUCUACCUUCCUUCUGCUGCCUGAGAGAGCUUUGGUUAAAAUGUCGACAUGGGUGGAGUUCUCAUUACCGACGAUUCUCAGGGGACUUUACUGGUUCUCUAUUGUAAGACAACUCGCUAAUGGCGCUUUCUUUCUUUAUACUGCUGUGACAUCUACCAAUGCUUAGAGACACUCCUAACAUCUUUCAAUGCUUUAAAGGCACACAGGAGAAGGUUUUGCUUGGAGGGGAGAGAGAUGCACAAGAAAAAACAUGCUAAGGGUCUUUCCUCUCUCCUCCUGCAAGUUUGGUUCGUUGCAGCUUCCAUAAAACCUCUAGAAAGCAACCAAGCAUUGCAUGCCGCAUGUCGUCCCAUGUGGCACUGAUCAUCUGCUGCACCUACUCACGUGCCUCUUCCUGGGAUGCUCCGGUCUCAUGCAUGUAACAUUGGACCGAUUUGAGAACAUCUCCUCUCGCCAAUUCAUCCUAAUCAAAACACUCACAGAACUAUAUAACUUACAUGAUUGAUUAUUCAAAUCGAUUUUAUAACUCACAACUAGAACUUAGAAGAUUGAUUAUUUACCGUCGAAGUUCCAAGGUCUAGAUGGAGGAUGGUGGCAGAGCAUCGGACAGGACUACUUGUUGCCGGUGUUGGGAUAAUGACCCCCAAGACUUGAAUUGAGAUUUCGUCAGAGAAAGCACAGUGAAUGUGAAUUAACAUUGUCGGGGCAGAAAUUGAAAUCCAAGCAUUUUGCAUGUAUUCUUCAAGUUUGGCUUGUAUCCUCUUUUGUACCACCUUACUUCUACUAGAUAUGUUCUACAUAAAUCUUCCCACUAAGUUGAAAAAUAACAUAAAGAAAAUGAAAACCAUAAUC
Molecule: RNA transcript, 3932 nt
Organism: Arabidopsis lyrata subsp. lyrata
Lineage: Eukaryota; Viridiplantae; Streptophyta; Magnoliopsida; Brassicales; Brassicaceae
Gene name: serine/threonine-protein kinase prpf4B
Exons: 16
Source: RefSeq, a predicted model, not a curated record